CAGCAGCCGCGGGAAAACGGAGGGAGCUAGCGUUAUUCGGAAUUACUGGGCGUAAAGCGCACGUAGGCGGCUUUGUAAGUUAGAGGUGAAAGCCUGGAGCUCAACUCCAGAAUUGCCUUUAAGACUGCAUCGCUUGAAUCCAGGAGAGGUGAGUGGAAUUCCGAGUGUAGAGGUGAAAUUCGUAGAUAUUCGGAAGAACACCAGUGGCGAAGGCGGCUCACUGGACUGGUAUUGACGCUGAGGUGCGAAAGCGUGGGGAGCAAACAGGAUUAGAUACCCCAGUAGUCCCUGUCUCUUAUAC
Molecule: ribosomal RNA, 301 nt
Filed under: uncultured bacterium
Lineage: Bacteria
Description: partial 16S ribosomal RNA
Rfam family: Bacterial small subunit ribosomal RNA
Source: RNAcentral